GAAACUUGGUCAACAAGUUAACCACAUGUUGUUAGCUUGUGGAACAAGCUAACUAUGUGGCAUACAUAUAAAAAACUUGUCUUGCAAGUUAAGAUAUGUGUCUUGCAAAGUCAAUAUGAUUUGGAGUUCUUGUAGGACAUCACCAUGUAGCUCCUAGUUAAAAGUAUAUAUGGAGGUAAGAGUGAAGCCUUCUUUGCUCUUAUUAAUGCCUUUUUAGUCCUUUGUAUUGUUUCAAGACUUUGUAAUCUUCUUGUCUUUGGCAAUAGUCAUUCUAGUUUAAUAUUAUAUCAUCUUUGAGUGAUUUUCUAGACUUUUCAAGUGACACAAGAGUAUAUUGACAUUUUAGUUCUUUGAGAUUCAUGUCCUUGAUAGUCACUCAAAAUAUCACC
This 389-nucleotide long non-coding RNA is filed under the name Physcomitrium patens. Its description in RNAcentral is "long non-coding RNA (PPAT_LNC000243)". The record is from RNAcentral. Lineage: Eukaryota; Viridiplantae; Streptophyta; Bryopsida; Funariales; Funariaceae.